GACGAACGCUGGCGGCGUGCUUAACACAUGCAAGUCGAACGGUGAAGCGCCUUCCUUUUUGGUGGGUGUGGAUGAGUGGCGAACGGGUGAGUAACACGUGAGUAACCUGCCCCCUUCUUCUGGAUAACCGCAUGAAAGUGUGGCUAAUACGGGAUAUUCUGGGUCUGUCGCAUGAUGGGUCUGGGAAAGAUAUUGUUUCGGUGGGGGAUGGGCUCGCGGCCUAUCAGCUUGUUGGUGGGGUGAUGGCCUACCAAGGCGGUGACGGGUAGCCGGCCUGAGAGGGUGGACGGUCACACUGGGACUGAGACACGGCCCAGACUCCUACGGGAGGCAGCAGUGGGGAAUAUUGCACAAUGGGCGCAAGCCUGAUGCAGCGACGCCGCGUGAGGGAUGGAGGCCUUCGGGCUGUGAACCUCUUUCGCCAGUGAAGCAGGCCUGCCUUGUUUGUGGGUGGGUUGACGGUAGCUGGAUAAGAAGCGCCGGCUAACUACGUG
Molecule: ribosomal RNA, 494 nt
Filed under: uncultured bacterium
Lineage: Bacteria
Description: partial 16S ribosomal RNA
Rfam family: Bacterial small subunit ribosomal RNA
Source: RNAcentral